This 805-nucleotide ribosomal RNA is filed under the name Cinachyrella schulzei. RNAcentral describes it as "SSU rRNA". It matches the Rfam family "Eukaryotic small subunit ribosomal RNA", at positions 138 to 938 of the family's 1831-position model. The record is from RNAcentral. Lineage: Eukaryota; Metazoa; Porifera; Demospongiae; Tetractinellida; Tetillidae.
CAUGGAUAACCGUGGUAAUUCUAGAGCUAAUACAUGCACAGAGUCCCGACUUCAGGGAGGGACGUAUUUAUUAGAUCCAAAACCAGCGCGGGUGUCCCCUCGUGGGUGCCCGGUCCCUGGGCGAUUCAUGAUAACUGCUCGAAUCGCACGGCCCUGGAGCCGGCGAUGGUCCAUUCAAAUUUCUGCCCUAUCAACUUUCGAUGGUACGGUAGUGGCCUACCAUGGUUGCAACGGGUGACGGAGAAUUAGGGUUCGAUUCCGGAGAGGGAGCCUGAGAAACGGCUACCACAUCCAAGGAAGGCAGCAGGCGCGCAAAUUACCCAAUCCCGACUCGGGGAGGUAGUGACAAUAAAUAACAAUGCCGGGCUCUCGCAGUCUGGCAAUUGGAAUGAGUCCAAUCUAAACCCCUUAACGAGGAACAAUUGGAGGGCAAGUCUGGUGCCAGCAGCCGCGGUAAUUCCAGCUCCAAUAGCGUAUAUUAAAGUUGUUGCAGUUAAAAAGCUCGUAGUUGGAUUUCGGGGCGGCCCGGCCGGUCCGCCGCGAGGCGAGCACUGGUCGGGCGCCCUUCCUCUCGAAGGCUUCGACUGCUCUUGAUUGCGGUGGUCGAGGAGUUCGGGACGUUUACUUUGAAAAAAUUAGAGUGUUCAAGGCAGGCCGUCGCCUGAAUACAUUAGCAUGGAAUAAUGGAAGAGGACCUCGGUCCUAUUUUGUUGGUUUCCAGGGCCGAAGUAAUGAUUAAGAGGGACAGUUGGGGGCAUUCGUAUUCAAUUGUCAGAGGUGAAAUUCUCGGAUUUAUGGAAGACAA